RNAcentral lists this long non-coding RNA (585 nucleotides) under Setaria viridis. RNAcentral describes it as "long non-coding RNA (SVIR_LNC000542)". The record is from RNAcentral. Lineage: Eukaryota; Viridiplantae; Streptophyta; Magnoliopsida; Poales; Poaceae.
AAAAAGGAGAACAUAGUAAUCACCUGAAGUUCAGCAUUCAUUUGCACUUCCCGAGAUCUCUUGCAUAUACUUUAUGACCAAUUCGAUCAUCAUUGGUGAUUAGCUAUUUAAGCAAUAAACAUGUACUUGCCUUUCAGCCAUGAGAAAAAUAUAUACUGGUUCCUCUCAUAGUUUAUGGAUCGGUAUCUGCAACAGAAUCCAUGCAUGUAUAUCCUUGGACAAACGACUAAAAACCUUCGAGCAUAAGUUUACCACACACAUAUAAUCUAUACACCACAAAACCAUGAACACACUUUUUUUCAAAAUUUUUAAUGUUUCACAUGUACUUAAUAUUCUAACAAACUGCCAGAAUAAUUCUAAAACAAAUUAAAUAGCUGUAUAUAUGCUUGUCACAAUAAUGUCAUACUCCGACCCUAUCAUGUUUAGGAUCCUGUAAGUGCAACAUUAAUUUCUUAUCGCAAAAAUGCUUUGCUUCAAACCUCAAUCUAGCUAGUGCCAUACUUUAAUUUGGCUAUACGCUUCUUGAAAAGGAAAAAUAGGUCAGUAGCUAUACGCUUCUUGAGGAGAAACCUUUUCGUUGGGCCA